CCUACGGGGAGCAGCAGUGAGGAAUAUUGGUCAAUGGGCGCGAGCCUGAACCAGCCAAGUCGCGUGAGGGAAGACGGUCCUAUGGAUUUUAAACCUCUUUUGUCGGGAGCAAAAGACGCCACGCGUGGCGUUCCGAGAGUACCCGAAGAAAAAGCAUCGGCUAACUCCGGGCCAGCAGCCGCGGUAAUACGGAGGAUGCGAUCGUUAUCCGGAUUUAUUGGGUUUAAAGGGUGCGCAGGCGGAAGUUCAAGUCAGCGGUAAAAUUGAGAGGCUCAACCGCUUCGAGCCGUUGAAAGUGGUUUUCUUGAGUGAGCGAGAAGUAUGCGGAAUUCGUGGUGUAGCGGUGAAAUGCAUAGAUAUCAGGAGGAACAUCGGUGGCAUAAGCGCUUUACUGGGCCGUAAUUGACGCUGAGGAACGAAAGCCAGGGUAGCAAAUGGGAUUAGAUACCCCAGUAGUC
RNAcentral lists this ribosomal RNA (458 nucleotides) under uncultured bacterium. RNAcentral's name for it is "partial 16S ribosomal RNA". It matches the Rfam family "Bacterial small subunit ribosomal RNA", at positions 338 to 795 of the family's 1533-position model. The record is from RNAcentral.